RNAcentral lists this ribosomal RNA (262 nucleotides) under uncultured bacterium. RNAcentral's name for it is "partial 16S ribosomal RNA". It matches the Rfam family "Bacterial small subunit ribosomal RNA", at positions 28 to 280 of the family's 1533-position model. The record is from RNAcentral.
GAUGAACGCUAGCUACAGGCUUAACACAUGCAAGUCGAGGGGCAGCAUUUUAGUUUGCUUGCAAACUAAAGAUGGCGACCGGCGCACGGGUGAGUAACACGUAUCCAACCUGCCGAUAACUCGGGGAUAGCCUUUCGAAAGAAAGAUUAAUAUCCGAUAGCAUAUAUUUCCCGCAUGGGUUUUAUAUUAAAGAAAUUCGGUAUGAGAUGGGGAUGCGUUCCAUUAGUUUGUUGGCGGGGUAACGGCCCACCAAGACUACGAU